Molecule: long non-coding RNA, 2820 nt
Filed under: Malus domestica (apple)
Lineage: Eukaryota; Viridiplantae; Streptophyta; Magnoliopsida; Rosales; Rosaceae
Description: long non-coding RNA (MDOM_LNC009563)
Source: RNAcentral
UGGUCAUAUAUAAAAAUUUAUUACAAAGUCUACGUGGUGUAUAGACUGAGCAAUUAGGGUUCAGCUAACAUGAAAUAAAGUUACGCCUUUUGCUGCGAAGUUCAAUAACCAUUCCGCUUUCAAUGUGCCAAACACUAAGUAACCUAGCUAGGUAACACCUCCUUUUCCUUUCGUCAGGGAAGCUAAUGAAGUGACAUCGUUCAACUAGAGAAUCAAGGACUGCUCGUCGACAGAGACUUGGAAAGGUAACCAACUGAAAUAAAAGUAGUGUUGUUUAACCAAACUGAAAGUAUUCCUAUGCCGACUAAUUCUAUGUCACCAAUAAUGUUCCACCGAACUGAAUAUAGCGCCAAUUUGUCAACCCAAGGUUGUGAACCCAAAGAUUUAGAGAAGUGGUUAGUGUUUUUCUUAGGACCUGAGAAAUUUUCGUGUAGAGUUUCUUAUAAAGCUUUUGUUUGUGUGUUGAGAUGAGAAUCCUCUUACAUUGCAAAACCACUUAUUUAUAGUAGCCAUAUAUUUACUUGGCGCGACCUGUAGUAGGGCUGGGCAUGGGCCGGGUUAGGCCCAAAUUUGAAGGAACCGGACCCUACCUGUUUUAAAAUGUAAUGGGGCGAGGCGGGCCGGGUAGAGCGAUUUUGAGUUUAGAAACAGGACCUAACCUAAUUUGGGGCAGGUCUACGAGUAGAAGCAGAUCCAAGAUCAAAAUUUAAGGGCUUUGAUGAAGAAUUAGCAGAAGAAGCAGACAUUGGGGCCCAUUUGCGGGAGGGCUUGAAGCCGAAAUUGGAGGCUAGAGACCCUCGAAGCCGUUCAUGGCGAUUGGGAUUUCUGGUUCUCCCUCUUUCUCCUUCCUCCUCAUUGUUUUAUUGGUUUUUGGCUGUACAAAAACAAAUGGAAUGAUCUCUGAAUUCUCUCAAAGGGUAAAUGUGGAAUUAUAUGAAAAGUUAAAGGGGUGAUCUUGUUGCAGAAGAGAACAGGGUCUGCUAGGAUUUGAAGGAGAAAAAUUUUGAGAGAGAGAGAGACAUGAGGUGAGGGAGGAGGGUAUAACAGGUAUCUGAGAUUCGACGUGAGGUGAGAGAGACAUUGGAGAUUCGACAAAAUCGAAAUCGCAAAAUCGAGAAUAUGGGUGGUACGGGUGUCUGGGUUCUGAGAUGUCGUCGAGGACUCGAGGUUGCUAAGCCGUCGUGGUGUUCGCCAGGGCCCAAACUCGCUACGGUAGUGAUGUCAAGGUGGUGGAGGAUGUAACACCCCGCCCCGAAUAAUUUCUUUAAUUCGGGAAAUAAUGUUAUUAUUAUUUUUUUUAUAGGCCCAAUCUAAAAAUCAUAUUUAGUUGAUUACCAUUAAUUGUUUGUUUUCUACUAUAUUCAAUUUACUAAUCCUUACAUUAAAUUCAAAACUGACUAAAAAAAACAUAAGGAAAAAAAAACAAACUAGUUACUAAAUUCCUUCCUUUAAUUCUAUGUCUUGCUUCCAACCUUGAUUCAUAAAAAAAAUUUAAACCCCAAAUGUACAAAUUUAUUCUCAUCUGGUCUCUAUUUCCUUUUAUAACACACUUCUCGUUCUAAGAAUUAUUUCUUGAGUUAUUUAAGGCUGCAUCUAACACUAUUAGACUGCCUACAUACUCUGGAGUGGGAUCAAGCCUUUCGUAGUUCCCAUAUUCCAAAAGUAAAUAAAAUCCGAAUAUAUUCAGUUAAUACAACAUAUACCAAAAUCGUAUUAAUAUUCAAACCACAUCAAUUUGAUCUCAAAAACAUAAUUAGAAUAAUGAAAUUCGCAUAAAGAAAAAUUGUCGGCUCCCUGGCCGUGUGCCGCACACCCGCCGCCCCGACUCGCCGGAAAAUUCAAUUAUUUCUACAAAUUCUAAAAAAUUACAGAAAUAAAGAUCUCAAAGAGUAGAGCAAACUUUAUACCUGUGGCCAAAUCCAAUUUGGCCUAGAAAGGCUCCAAUUUGCCUUGAACCCGCCGAAAACCUUAUAAAUGGGUGUCCUCGAUUCGUCACCUCCGGUGCUCCGUCGUCCCUACCCUUGUUUGGGCUUUGUUCCAAACCUCAAGCGGAGUCUAAUGGUGGUGGAGAUGGAUGUAGUUUGCUUCAGAUUUAGUGGAUUUCGAACACACUAUCGCCACACCCCAUCGUGCGGUUUCUCCCGAUUUAAAGUCCAAAUCCCUAAAUUUCUAGGAUGUAAUAGGAAGGGGGAGGUCGUGGAGAGUUUACAAAUGGUUAAUUUGAUGUAAUUCGCCGGAAAAAUGGCUAAAAGUCGUCGGAAUAGGAGAGAAAACCCGACCGGGUAGGGUCCGGUCCUUGGGUCGCGGGAUCCCCCACUCCCCCCUUCUCUCUUUUUUCCUCCUUUCUCCCUUCCCCAUUGGUCCUCCUCCCCCCUUCUUUCCUCGUUUCUCUCCUUUUUCUCUUUUUUCCUUUUCAUCCCAGCCAUCCAUCUGUCAUUUUUUUUCUUUUCUUUCAUCUCAGCCACCCACGUGGCACCAUCAGGUUUUGCUCCAAAAAUCUGGAGUCUUCUAAAAAUAAUUAAUUGACCAUUUAGUCCCUAACUUUGUUUGUUAAUAACUUCUUCGUUAUAUCUCCAAAUUUUGUUCUGUUUACGCCUACGCGUUCGUGAGAUCGAGCUUUAUUCAAAAACAUAAAUUUUGACCUUGAAGGGUCUACAUAUUUUCAAUAAUUAAUAUCCAAACUUUAAACCUCGUAACUAGUUUAAUUUAACACUAAAAUUUUAUGAAUUAAUAUAAAUUCCCAAUUAUUUUUACAUAUUCAUAAUUAUGAAUGCCAAAUUCCUAUAUUUACAUUUUUCAGGGUAUUAUAAAGGAGAUGAU